CAUUUGCAAUCUGGAGCGUCGUGUCAGGGGUGGGAAGGCGGGGCAAGCACUCGAGACUCGGAGGCAAGUGGAAUGAGCUGCACGAGACGCAGCUGUGAGGCGUUGUGGUUCGUGGGACACGCCCCUCACCUGGCCCAACCUAAUCUGACUUCCCUGGGAACCGCAGGCAAUCAGUCCUAAGAUGACAGCUGUUUGCAGUGGGAUGAAGAACUUCCUUUGAAGAAUAAUAGUAACAAGCAGAAUGAAAACAAGCUACUCUCUUUGAGUUUACUUCUCUUAAGAGGAGCCUGCUAUCGCGAAUACGUUGUUAUAGAGAAUAUUCACAGAUCCAGCCACCCUCGCAGACAUUGGUUGGUUGAAUCCAUGCAUUCUGAGGGCUAUUAUGGAUUUGAACAACUGCAGAUUCUGGAAUGGUUGUGGUCCUGAAACCAGUCCCCCUGCAUACCAAGGGGUGACUGUGUAGUUAAGUUUUGGGAGAAUCAAAAGUUAUACAUGAAUUUUCUACUGUUGGACUAGCAACCUGAACCUGACCAGUGUUCAAAGCAACUGUAGUUUAUCAACCAAGAUAAUCCAUUCCCUGACCU
Molecule: long non-coding RNA, 584 nt
Organism: Talpa occidentalis (Iberian mole)
Lineage: Eukaryota; Metazoa; Chordata; Mammalia; Eulipotyphla; Talpidae
Exons: 4
Source: RefSeq, a predicted model, not a curated record